RNAcentral lists this ribosomal RNA (432 nucleotides) under uncultured bacterium. RNAcentral's name for it is "partial 16S ribosomal RNA". It matches the Rfam family "Bacterial small subunit ribosomal RNA", at positions 29 to 507 of the family's 1533-position model. The record is from RNAcentral.
ACGAACGCUGGCGGCAGGCCUAACACAUGCAAGUCGCGCUAGGACUUCGGUUCUAGCGGCGGACGGGUGAGUAACGCGUGGGAAUGUGCCCUUCUCUACGGAAUAGCCCUGGGAAACUGGGAGUAAUACCGUAUACGCCCUAUUGGGGAAAGAUUUAUCGGAGAAGGAUCAGCCCGCGUUGGAUUAGGUAGUUGGUGGGGUAAUGGCCUACCAAGCCGACGAUCCAUAGCUGGUUUGAGAGGAUGAUCAGCCACACUGGGACUGAGACACGGCCCAGACUCCUACGGGAGGCAGCAGUGGGGAAUCUUAGACAAUGGGGGCAACCCUGAUCUAGCCAUGCCGCGUGAGUGAUGAAGGCCUUAGGGUUGUAAAGCUCUUUCAGCUGGGAAGAUAAUGACGGUACCAGCAGAAGAAGCCCCGGCUAACUCCGUG